RNAcentral lists this ribosomal RNA (198 nucleotides) under uncultured Basidiomycota. RNAcentral's name for it is "partial 26S ribosomal RNA". It matches the Rfam family "Eukaryotic large subunit ribosomal RNA", at positions 62 to 261 of the family's 3401-position model. The record is from RNAcentral. Lineage: Eukaryota; Fungi; Basidiomycota.
AAAAUAACAAUGAUUACCUCAGUAGCGGCGAGUGAAGAGGUGAAAGCCCAAGAUGUUAAUCUGUGUUAAAGACAUAGAAUUGUAAUCUAUGGAAUCAAUCAGAAAGCGAAAGCCUGCCAUAAGUCCCUUGGAACAGGGCGCCAGAGAGGGUGAAAGCCCCGUCUUCGGGUGGGACGACGCAAUUUGAAAGAUUUCUAA